UACGUAGGGGGCUAGCGUUAUCCGGAAUUACUGGGCGUAAAGGGUGCGUAGGUGGUUUCUUAAGUCAGAGGUGAAAGGCUACGGCUCAACCGUAGUAAGCCUUUGAAACUGGGGAACUUGAGUGCAGGAGAGGAGAGUGGAAUUCCUAGUGUAGCGGUGAAAUGCGCAGAUAUUAGGAGGAACACCAGUGGCGAAGGCGAUUCUCUGGACUGUAACUGACGCUGAGGCUCGAAAGCGUGGGGAGCAAACAGG
RNAcentral lists this ribosomal RNA (252 nucleotides) under uncultured bacterium. RNAcentral describes it as "partial 16S ribosomal RNA". It matches the Rfam family "Bacterial small subunit ribosomal RNA", at positions 524 to 776 of the family's 1533-position model. The record is from RNAcentral.